ACAGGGUAAGGAAGUGUUUGGGCUGCGGGUUACAUUCAUGUGGUUAUAUAAACAAACAAAUGUUACAGGAUCAAACGGGGUUAACAAGGGAUAAUAUGAAAGGGAUGCCUAGAAAGGCUCAGGGCUAUUAUUCAAACAACGUACCUCAGUGUGUGUAUAUAUGCAGUGAUAUUCCAAGAGAACUUACGUAAACUCAGAGUGAUAAAGAAAUACCUCUGAGUAUCGCGCAUGAUGACAAAUUUGUUUGGCUUUUUAUGCACUCACCAUGUUAGGUAAAUCUUGACAGAAUCCACAGUACUUCUAGUAUAGUGCGGCUUCUUACCCAACUCGACAUGCACAGGGAACCUACGUUAGUCGAGCUUGAGACUUUGCGUCCGAUAUUUU
This 384-nucleotide long non-coding RNA is filed under the name Lathyrus oleraceus (garden pea). Its description in RNAcentral is "Pisum sativum (pea) long non-coding RNA (PSAT_LNC033133)". The record is from RNAcentral. Lineage: Eukaryota; Viridiplantae; Streptophyta; Magnoliopsida; Fabales; Fabaceae.